Long non-coding RNA from Bombyx mori (domestic silkworm), 754 nucleotides. RefSeq lists it as uncharacterized. The record is from RefSeq and is a predicted model, not a curated record. The transcript has 2 exons. NCBI's taxonomy places the organism in Eukaryota, Metazoa, Arthropoda, Insecta, Lepidoptera, Bombycidae.
AUAGUUUAGCUUUAAGGUCAAUUGAAAAAUGAAGUGAUUUUUAACAAAUCUGAAAUUUUAAAGCAAAUGGAAAACUUUCCCAUGAAAUAAUUUUACUCGAUCUCUACAAUGAUUAAUGUUUCUGAUUUAUUAACGACUGCCGUAUUUAUCUUCCAAGUAUAAUAAAAAAAUAUUAUAUUGAAAUAAACGAAAUAAGGUUAUGUGUGCAUCUAGCAACAGUGGCAUUGCAAGAAACCAAUUGCCUUUUUGGCGGGAACCGUAGGAGCAAAGCUUUGUGAAUUAUUUUAUUUUAUUGAAGUUUUUUUCAGAUUUAAAUGUAUUAAAAUGAUGGUUUAUUAACUGUUUAUCAAAAACAAAGUUACUAAAAUCAACUUCGUCUCAUUUUACAACAUAUCAUAUCAUUAUCAGAAUACAGUAGAAAUUAUGUUCAAGCUAGGUUUUAAGAUCUUGUGACCGUUAGCCAUAAGUAAAUUCUAACGAAAGAAGCAGGCUAUCAUACCUACUGAAAAAAGAAGAUUAAUCCAAAGUCAAUGCUCGGUCUACUGCGCGUAUUGUCAGUGUACUACCUAGGUACAGUCCGCGCGCGAGCUCCGAGGAUUUUUAAGGAAUGUUGACGUAAUGAGCUAGUGUUGUAAUUAGUCGAUAUUGCGCUAUCGAUACUAACACAUCUUAAGCCUCCGUGCGAGUGUAAAUUAUAAAAUAGUUUUAUGAGGGUAUUAUGUACUUGAAAUAAAAUAAAAAAUACAACUGAUCA